Sciurus carolinensis (gray squirrel) is the source of this 228-nucleotide long non-coding RNA. RefSeq lists it as uncharacterized. The transcript is spliced from 3 exons. The record is from RefSeq and is a predicted model, not a curated record. Lineage: Eukaryota; Metazoa; Chordata; Mammalia; Rodentia; Sciuridae.
CUUUGAUGAAGCCCAGCGGCUCCUCCAGUCGUCGCCAGCGCAACCCCACCAGCAGGCGGUCCACCUGCGAAAACAGAGCCAGCUAUCUGUCAAGGCGGUCUCAUUUUCGGAAAGCGUUCAACAGGAGCCCUGUGCGAGCAGUUGUGAAUAUUACACGUUCAGUUUACGGGAAUGUAAAUCCAGUGGAAUCUCUGCUUCCUGAUGUGAUGUCUUGAGCCACUUCCCUCU